This 435-nucleotide ribosomal RNA is filed under the name uncultured Syntrophococcus sp. RNAcentral describes it as "partial 16S ribosomal RNA". It matches the Rfam family "Bacterial small subunit ribosomal RNA", at positions 341 to 792 of the family's 1533-position model. The record is from RNAcentral. Lineage: Bacteria; Bacillati; Bacillota; Clostridia; Lachnospirales; Lachnospiraceae.
ACGGAAGGCAGCAGUGGGGAAUAUUGCACAAUGGGGGGAACCCUGAUGCAGCGACGCCGCGUGAGCGAAGAAGUAUUUCGGUAUGUAAAGCUCUAUCAGCAGGGAAGAAACAGGACGGUACCUGCACAAGAAGCCCCGGCUAACUACGUGCCAGCAGCCGCGGUAAUACGUAGGGGGCGAGCGUUAUCCGGAUUUACUGGGUGUAAAGGGAGCGUAGACGGCUGUGCAAGUCUGGAGUGAAACUCCGGGGCUCAACCCUGGAACUGCUCUGGAAACUGCAUGGCUCGAGUACCGGAGGGGUAGGCGGAACUCCUAGUGUAGCGGUGAAAUGCGUAGAUAUUAGGAAGAACACCGGCGGCGAAGGCGGCCUACUGGACGGUAACUGACGUUGAGGCUCGAAAGCGUGGGGAGCAAACAGGAUUAGAUACCCUGGUA